AUUGAACGCUGGCGGCAUGCCUUACACAUGCAAGUCGAACGGUAACAGGUUAAGCUGACGAGUGGCGAACGGGUGAGUAAUGUAUCGGAACGUGCCCAGUCGUGGGGGAUAACUGCUCGAAAGAGCAGCUAAUACCGCAUACGACCUGAGGGUGAAAGCGGGGGAUCGCAAGACCUCGCGCGAUUGGAGCGGCCGAUAUCAGAUUAGGUAGUUGGUGAGGUAAAGGCUCACCAAGCCGACGAUCUGUAGCUGGUCUGAGAGGACGACCAGCCACACUGGGACUGAGACACGGCCCAGACUCCUACGGGAGGCAGCAGUGGGGAAUUUUGGACAAUGGGCGCAAGCCUGAUCCAGCCAUGCCGCGUGCGGGAAGAAGGCCUUCGGGUUGUAAACCGCUUUUGUCAGGGAAGAAAAGGUUCUGGCUAAUACCUGGGAAUCAUGACGGUACCUGAAGAAUAAGCACCGGCUAACUACGUG
RNAcentral lists this ribosomal RNA (477 nucleotides) under uncultured bacterium. RNAcentral's name for it is "partial 16S ribosomal RNA". It matches the Rfam family "Bacterial small subunit ribosomal RNA", at positions 30 to 507 of the family's 1533-position model. The record is from RNAcentral.